GAGGGUAUAGCUCAGGGGUAGAGCGUGUGCUUAGCAUGCACCAGGUCCUGGGUUCAAUCCCCAGUACCUCCA
RNAcentral lists this transfer RNA (72 nucleotides) under Camelus bactrianus (Bactrian camel). It matches the Rfam family "tRNA". Rfam says of the family: Transfer RNA (tRNA) molecules are approximately 80 nucleotides in length. Their secondary structure includes four short double-helical elements and three loops (D, anti-codon, and T loops). Further hydrogen bonds mediate the characteristic L-shaped molecular structure. tRNAs have two regions of fundamental functional importance: the anti-codon, which is responsible for specific mRNA codon recognition, and the 3' end, to which the tRNAs corresponding amino acid is attached (by aminoacyl-tRNA synthetases). tRNAs cope with the degeneracy of the genetic code in two manners: having more than one tRNA (with a specific anti-codon) for a particular amino acid; and 'wobble' base-pairing, i.e. permitting non-standard base-pairing at the 3rd anti-codon position. The record is from Rfam by way of RNAcentral. Lineage: Eukaryota; Metazoa; Chordata; Mammalia; Artiodactyla; Camelidae. RNAcentral also lists the same sequence under 2 other names.